Homo sapiens (human) is the source of this 15798-nucleotide long non-coding RNA. Ensembl annotates it as TMEM161B divergent transcript. Its record names the gene TMEM161B-DT. NCBI's taxonomy places the organism in Eukaryota, Metazoa, Chordata, Mammalia, Primates, Hominidae. The record is from Ensembl.
GGCGCAGCACAGGUACGUGGGCGGGCGGAUCGUGGUGGCUGCGCUUGCGAGGACCCUGAGGUAGAUUGGGUGGUUUCAACAGGAACGCAUCCACUGUCUGAGAGGUGGCAAUUGAAGCCGGAAGAACAUCUACCAAGAGCAGAGAACCCAGGAAGAAAAUUCUGCCUCUUUAAUACGUUCCAAUAUGGACGUUUUCCAUAUAGAUACCUAUCUAUAUAGAUAGAUGCUCUGGGAUCUGACGGUCCUGGACACCUGUAUGGCUGUGUGCUGUGGUCUUUGCCUAGCCUGCGGUUCACUUUUGCUCUGGCCACCACCUCCCCUCAUGUACAAACCGCGUCUCUGCUCUGCCAGUCUUGGCCCCCGUCAGGCAGCGGUUCACUCCCUCACCAGGGAAGUCUAGAUAGAUAGAUAUAGAUAGAUAUCGAUCGAUAGAUAUAGAUAUAUAUAUAGAUAGAUAGAUAGGUAGAUAUAUGGAUAGAUAUAGAUAUUUGGAUAGAUAUGUAGACGUCUAUCUAUAAAUAUAUCGAUAUAUCGGGGUUCUCAGCCAUCCCAAAGAAGCUUGCACAGGGCCAGUUGCUUUAUGUCAGGAAAAGGGACACAGACUGAGUGUAUGAGGGUUUUUUUUUUCUAUAGAUGUAUAGAUAUUUAUAUCAGAUGCAAAUAAGUGAAACUCUCAUACAACUUUUAAUUUUGUGUUUUUUCCAAACUCUAUUCCAUUCAACUUUUUCUGCCUUUUUAUUUGAUUAUAAUGAGACAUCGUACUGGAGGCAGGCUUGAAAUGGAUAUACAGAGCACUUUCAACCCAGAAAUUUGUCUCACGACUUGGGGUCCUUACUUAAGUUGUAGCUGUUAGUAAUUUCAUCCAUGAAUUCACUUUGUGCCAUAGUGUGAUGUUUUGUUAUGAAGUUGGAAUUGGGAAGGGAAACUAGGAAGUUUUGGGAGAAGUUAAGAAGGUUGAGUAGGCAGGCGUUGUUAUAGAUAUUAAAUUUCACCCUGCUUAUCAAAGUACCUGGAGCGUAUGGUAUCCAAGCUGUAAAUGGCCCAAAGGAAUCGGGGUUCUCAGCCAUCCAAAAGAAGCAUGCACAGGGCCAGUUAUUUUAUGUCAGGAAAGGGGACACAGACUGAGUGUAUGAGGGUUUUUUUUUUUGUUUUUUUUUUUUAGUUUAAACUUGAUUUUGUGAGGGGACGAACAGCGUGACAAUUAAAAGAAGAUCUGGGAAUCGUAAGUACUGACAGAAUACCUGGAGGGAAGGUGGGACUGGAGAAUAGUUUGUGAAACAGAUCCUGCUGAGGAUGAAUCCAGAACUUCCUGAAGGGUUCCGCUUCUGCUGUGUAGGGACAAGGUUGUAAAUAGACAAGCCACAGGCACCUGCAAAUGGUAAGUGUGGUAGAGAGGGGCUGGAAUUGCCUGUUGGUGUAUCUGUGGGAAGCAGCUGCUAUCCUUGAGGAAGAAAAGAUGGAGAAGGUAAGUGGCUAUCAACCUGUCAGAGACAACACAUUCUGUGAAGUUGUACUCUUUCAUUUCUGACACUGUGGUUCUUAAUAUCUGUCCUAAACCUGGCAGUCAUUGAGGUUCGCAAAGUAUCUCCUUCUAUGUGACAGUAAAACUGGAAUUACUAUCAGAAUGGAAUCCAUUCCUGCUAGAGUAAAACCAUGAAAAGAAAUCGCAGUUUUGAUUAUCUGCUUAUCAUUUUUAAUAGAUCACAGAGUGCAGUGUUCCUUAUUUGUUGUAUGGCAAGUUGAUGAAUAACUCUUGAUUAAUAUCUUUUAAUGUUCUGUUUCACACAGUUCUCUCAAUUACAUGUGAAAAAUCUGUUAUAUAAGUAAUGCUAUUUAAUGAUUAAAAUGGAUAUAUGUUUUAAGGUAGUGCCACCCAGUCUUUUUUUUUUGGUAGAAUAAUAUUAUUAUCUAUUGGUUGCCUGCCUUGAAGUACAGUAAUUUCUCUGUUUCCAUUAUUUAAAAUAGGUGAGUGUCUUUGACAAAGAUACAAAGAAAGGGGACAGUUAUGAAAGGGAAGAAAAGAUAGAUGGAGAUGAAAAGAAAUUCAGUAGUUUCAGCAAGGGAAUUAGGAGCAUAAUCUUUGAGAAAAGUCUUGGUUGCUUACCAUUCGGGCUUUGUGAUGAGUUGAAAUGUCCUGAAUGAGAACUGUUCUCAAAUGCUUUCAAGACCAACAAAAAGUACGAUACCCACACUGACCUGGAACUCUUUAAACCAUUAAGAUAUAUCACUUUUUCGCAGUUCAGUCCAUAUUUUUUGCAAAAUGUUCUGCUUAGUUUUUCUGCUAAGAAAUUACUGUUUCUGAACAAGGUUAAGUGUCGUAUGCUUUCAUUGUAGUUUUUUUUCCCCUAACAUAUACUGUUUUCCUAAUUAGACUAUAAAUUCCUCCACAGCUGGGACCUUGUUUUGUUUUCUCGCCUUCCCCAUAACAAAUAUCAUUUAAGUGAAUGUUGUAAACAGUUACUUCAUUUAAAUUGCCCUUAAAAUGCUUUAUGACAAAGACGUUAUUUGUAGUAAUACCUAUAAUGGUAAAAAGUUUGUUGCAGUCUUACAGACGAUAAGAUUGAUCAAUUGUUAUAUAUGCUUAGUGGAAUUUUAUCUAGCUGUUCUAAAGAGCCAUUAGACUAGUCUUUCUAAUGGAAAAUGUUUAUUGUCUAAGUUAAAACAGCAUUUGAGGCCAGGCACAGUGGCUCACUCCUGUUAUUGCAGCACUAUGGGAGGCUGAGGUGGGAGGAUCACUAGAGCACAAGAGUUGGAGACUAGCCUAGGCAAUAUAGUGAGACCUCUUCUCUACAAAAAAUUUAAAAAUUAGCUGAGUGUGAUGGGGUGUGCCCGUAGUUCCAGCUACUCAGGAGACUGAGGUGGGAGGAUCACUUGGGUCCAAGAGGUAGAUGUUGCAGUAAACCAAGAUCAUGCCACUGCACUGCAGCCUGGGCAACAGAGCAAGAUCCUGUCUCAAAAAAUUAAAAAGCAUUUUAUAGACUGCAUGUUUGUGUCCCCCCUCCCUCCGCACCAGAAUUCAUAUAUUGAAGCCUUAAUCUCCAAUGACAUGAUAUUAGUAGGUGGGGCCUUUGGGGGGUGAUUAAAUAAUAAGGGUGAAGCCCUGCAUGGGAUUAGUGCCUUUACAACAAGAGACCCUAGACAGCUUGCUUCCACUCUUUCUUUGCUCUUCACCAUGUGAGGACACAGCAAGAAAACAGACAACUACAAAUCAGGAAGAGGGCCUAAUUUGUGCCAACCAUGCUGGCACUCUUCUCUAACUUCCCAGCCUCCAGAACUGUGAGAAAUAAAUUUCUGUUGUUUAAGUCACCCAGUUUAUGGUAGUUUGGUUAUAGUUGCCCAUAUUAAGACAGCAGGAUGCAAAAUUGUGGCCAGUAUGAUUGCUUUGACAUGAAACAAAUUUUAAGCACAAAUUGCAAAAAGUAACCAAAAUAUAUCAAUCCCCACUGCUGGCAUUAACACUCUAAAACAAACUUUGUAUAUUGGGGGAUUUUAUUUAUUUAUUUAUUUAUUUUUUUUGCUGACCAUAGUGACUCAUGCCUAUAAUCCCAGCACUUUGGGAGGCCGAGUUGGGCAGAUCACUUGAGGCCAGGAAUUCAAGACCAGCCUGGCCAACAUGGCAAAACCCCCUCUUUACAAAAAUAUAAAAAUUAACCAGGCAUGGUGGCACACCCCUGUAGCCCCACCUACUUGGGAGGCUGAGGUGGGAGGAUCGCUUGGGCCUGUGAAGCAGAGGUUGCGGAGAGCUGUGAUGGCACCACUGCACUCCAGCCUGUGUGACAGAGCGAGACUAUCUCAAGAAAAAAAAAAAAGGAUGAGGAUUUUUUUUGUUUUCAACAUGCUUUUUAACAUCCACUAUAUUACUCUCAUCUUUCUAGGCUGGAAAAAAAAAUGUUUUAAAUGUUAUUCUGAAGUAUAUUGCAACCUUUAACAAUUCAGUAGACUUCUGAAUUUUUAUUUUCAUGUAGCUUACCACAGUUGUAUCUAGGAAUAUAUCACAUAGCUGAUUAAUUGGUGAAAUAACCCUUGCAAUUUUACACAGGUUGUACAGUGCACAUUUUCAAGGACCACUCACAUACAUCCAUUUGAUAUUUUUUGGUAUCAAGAAAGUCUUUAAACAAUCAGUACCACCAAUAGCAGUAAAAAGACAAAACUGUCUGAAAGUACCUAUCUGUUUAAAACUUUAAUUAGCUUUAUCCAUCCAUUAAAUAGUUAUUGAAUAUAAAACUGUAUCAUUCACUCUUCUACACUCUGAGGAAAUAGUGGUAAAUAAAGCAGAUAUUGUCCCUACUAUCAGGAAAUUUACAUUUUAGUAGUAAUAAGCCAUAAAUUAACAAAAACAGAAGACAGUGGUAAGUACUAGGCAUGAAAUUCAAACAUGACUAUUUUAGAUUAGGUGAUUAAAGAAACUAAAAUACCAUUUAAGCUGCUGUGUAAAUGACAAGAGAAUCCAGCUUUGUAAAAAUUGGUGAACCCUUUGCUUGCAGAAGGGACAACUGCAAAAUCUAAGGCAUGAUCUAGCCUGGAAUAUUUCAGGAGCCAAAAGAAGGCCUGCAUGGUUAGAGAAUAGUGACUUAAGACGCAAAUACUGUAACUUUGGAGGGAUAGGAAAGGGCUAGAUCAUGUUACCUUUGAAAGACAGGAAAGAGUUUAGAUUUUAUUCUAUGUGCAAUGGAAAAAAAAAUGAGAGCAUUUUAAUCCAAAGAGUAAUAUAAGAUAAUAUAUUUUUAAAAUCCACUUUGGUAAUUUGUUAAUUGGCAUAAAGAGUCAGCUUUCAUGUAACAUAAUUACUAACAUACUUGGAUUUAAAUUUGUCAUUAUUCUUAUUUUAUUUGUCCCACCUCUUAUAUGUUCAUUUUGUCUUCUUUUGCCUUUUUGAUUUUUUUUUUUCUUAAUUAGGCCAUAGCACCUGAUAUUCCCAGGCAGACUCUCAUCCAAGUGCCAAUCAGCCCCAGCCCUGCUUAGCUUCCCAGAUCAGAUGAGAACAGGCAUAUUCAGGGUGGUAUGGCUAUAGACCUUUUAGAUUAUUUUUAAUUAUUCCAUUUUUUCUACCUCAUAAGCUUGACAGAUGUCUUUUAGUAUCUUUUUACUGUUCACCUCAGGUAUUAAAACAUGGAACCUUGGUUUAUCAUCUUUAAGAUAAUUUGGUAUUAUACUUCUUCCAGGACAAUGUAAGGACCUGCGAACACAUCAACUUCAUUUACUGCCACACCUCAUGUUAUAUACAUUGUAUAUUCUUAAUAUGUAUUUCCUAAAUUCUCAAGACAUUUUUUAUACAAUAUGAAUUUACAUUUCAUAUUGUAUAAAACAUUUACUUUUUCUAUUGUGUUUCGUGGUUCCUGGAAUCUGAGCUUCCAUCUAAGACCUUAUUUCUUCUUGAAGGACAUACUUUAAUAUUUCUUCGAAUAUCUACUGGUAACAAUUCAUUCAGAUUUUCUGUCCUGACACUGUCUUAUUUUACUUUCAUUUUCUAAGAACGUUUUUGCUGAAUUAGCAGCUAUUUUAUCAUUUUGAAGAUAUAUUUUAUUCCUUCUGGCUUCCAUUAUGUCCUCUAAGACAUAAUGUCCAUUUUGUUUUUUUCUCUUCAAAGGUAAUCUUUUUUUGGAUGGCUACUUUUAAGAGGUUUGUCUUAAGUUUGGUGUGCCCACAUGUGUUUUGUGUUUGUUUUUUUGUGUGUGUGGUUUUUUUCUGCUUCGAGAUUGAUAAUGUUUCUUGAAUCUGGCUGUGAUGUCCUUAGGCUGUUUGAGAAAAUUCUUAGCUCUGUUUGAUCAGACAUUGCUUCUGCUUUCACUCUCCUUUCUCCUCUUCUUUUGAUACUCCACUUACAUUUGUAUUUGACAAUUCACUUUGUCCCUUGUAUUUUCCAUUUAUUUUCUUGUCUGUUUCAUCCUGAAUAUUUCUUCUUAACUUUCAGUUCACUAUUUUCUCUUAGUAGUCUCGAAUUUGUUAAAUCUCUCUUGAAGCAUUUAUUUUAGUUAUAUUUUUGGUUAUCAGUUCAAACAUUUCUACUUGAUUCUGUUUUAUUGUUUCCAGUUGUUUAUCCAAUAUCUCAAUCUUUUAUUUCCUCAAACAUACUAAUCAUAAUUACUUUAAAACCUGUAUCUAAUAACUAUGGUGUCUGCUAUUAUCUGACACUUUUCUUGUUUCUUGCUGUUAUCACAUUGUCUUGCUUUUAUGUCCCUUAUUUUUAUGUUAUUUUGUAUUAUUUAUUUUAUAAACAUUAUAAAUAUAUAAAACUUGGCUUAGGUUAUGUUUUAAUUGAAUGUCAGAAUUGUUUUGAUUGAACUGUAUAUGAGGAAACUAUACUUUGAAGUCCAAUAUGAUGGUAUUUUCUAAAGAAAGAAUUUAUGUCUCCUGGCAAGACCUUUGGACACUAGUAAUCUAAGAUCUUCUUAAUCUGGUUAGUGAUAGAGACAAUUAGAAUAUAGGCAGGUCUAUUUCCUGUUCAUACUUUCACAAUGUAGACCUCUGAAGUCCCAACUCAAGCAUGCAGAGUUUACCAGAUCAGGCCCUAAACUUCAGUUUUUGUCUUUUUAAUUCUAUGGGUUAGAAACUCUGUUCAACUUUUCAGCCAUCACCUCAGGAAUCAGAAGAUACUCCAGAGGAAAAGCUAAUGUAAAUGCUGGAUUCAACAACUCUGUUUUUUCCUUCUGAAUAUUUCAUUGUCUCUAAUGCUGUCAGAUGUUUGUUUUAUAUUUUGUCCAAGCUGAGUGUGGUGGCUCACGUCUGUAAUUUCAGCACCUUGGGAGGCCAAGGCGGGACCAUCCCUUGAGGCCAGGAAUUUGAGACUAGCCUAGGCAACAUAACAAGACCUUUGUCUCUUGGAAAAAAAUAAAUAAAUAAAUAUUAUUAGAAGUGAAAAUGGGGAUGUUGUUACAAAUGCUGUGGAGAUUGAUGAGAAAUUAUGAACAACUUAAUAAUAAAUGGGAAAAUAUAAAUGAAGUAGGCAGUUCCAGAAAAUGUAACUUUUCAAAAGCCAUGUAAUGGAAAAUAUAAAUGGUGGGAUGUUGAUGUAAGAAAUCAUGAUGCCCAGAGACUUUUGCCAAACCUUCAAAGGACAGAUCAUUACAAUUUUACACAAACCAUUCCACAGUAUAUUCCACUUAUAUACUGUGGAAUUGGCCCUUACUGCCCUUAUCAAAUUUAACAUCAAGGUUACAGAAGCUUAAUAUUACUGCCCUGAUUUUAUUAGGGCAGUAAUGAUUUGAUAAGGGCAGUAAGAAUUACAGCCCUGUCAUAUUCGCAAAGACAAAAAUCCUAAAUAAAACAGACCUUAGAAAAUGUGUUUUUAAGAAAAGAUAAUAAAACAUGAUCAGGUUGAAUUUAACCCAGGAAUGUAUUUUAGUAUAUUAAGAGAUUAGAAAAACUAUCUGGCUAUCUGAACAGAUGCAGGAAAAGAAAACUAUUUGAAAAAAUUAACAGACAUAGAUAAACCUUUGGGCAAAUUAGAAUUGUGUAGAACUUCCUUGAGCCAAUAAAACCUACAACAACAAUAUUUUAAGAUGAAGUAUUUGAAGCAGUCCAUUAGAAUCAGGAACAAGUACUAUGUUGGAGAUCCUAGCCAGCAUUAUAAGGCAAGAAAAACAAAAGAUUAAAAAUUGUAAAUAAACAUAACUUAGUCUACAGAUAAAUUAUUGAAGAGCUUUGCAAGGAUUCUGAAUAUACUAUUGAUAUGGUUUGGAUCUGUGUCCCUACCCAAAUCUCAUGUUGAAUUGUAAUCCCCAAUGUUGGAGGUGAGGCCUGGUGGGAGAUUGGAUCACGGGAAUGGGUUUCUCAUUCGUGGUUUAGUACCAUCCUCUUGGUACUGUCCUUGAAAUAGUUCUUAGGAGAUCUGGUAAUUUAGAAUUGUGUGGUACCUCUCCCCUCUCUCUUGCUCUUGCUCCCCCUUUGCCUUCCACCAUGAUUGGAAGCUUCCUGAAGCUGCCUCAGAAGCAGAAGCCACUAUGCUUCCUGUACAGCUUGCAGAACCAUGAGCCAAUUAAACCCCUUUUCUUUAUAAAUUACUCAGUCUCCAGUAUUUAUAGCAAUGUGAAAACAGAUAAUAUGACUAUCAAUAUACAAAAGUGAAUUGCAUUUCUUUCCAGCAGAAAUGAACUGUUAGAAAAUGAUUUUUGUAACAUACCAUUUACUAUAUUCCUUUAAAAAUAUAAAUUAGGUAACUUAACAAAAGGUAUAGAAGACCUCUGUAGAAAAUUACAAAACUUUAUUGACAGGCAUUUAAAAAUGUCUAAUUUUAAAAUUGCCAUGUUCAAUGAUUAAAAGACUCGAGUUAAGAUGGCAGUUCUCCACUACACAAUGAAGGUAAUUGCAAUACAAAUCCCAAAUGAGUUUUUCAAGGAGCUUGACAAACUGAUUCUAAAGUCUGUAUGACAAAAAGCAGAAUUCAGGAUACUCCAGAAGCAGAUUUAAGAUAGAAUUGACUUGUAGAUAUUCGUAACAGCAAAAAAAUAAAAACAACUCAAAUAUCCAUCAAAAGAUAAAAUGUUUAUCCAUGAAAAGAUACUCAAAAAGUGACACCUUUAUAUAAUGGGAUAUAUUUGGCUGCAAAAAGGAAUGAACUGCUAAUACCUGCUAUAAUGUGGAUAAACCUUGAAAGCCUGCUGAAAUAAAGAAGCCAGUCACAAAGGACCACUUAUGAUUCCAUUUAAACAAAGUGUAUAAAGUAGAAAAUGUAUUGAGACAAUAGAUUGUGGUUGUUUAGGGCUUACAAAGUUUGGGGUGAUGGGGGCCCGAGGUAGUGACAGCUAAAGGGUGCAGUUUCUUUUUGAGGCAAUAAAGUUCUAAAAUGUAUAGUUGCACGUUUCUGUAGAUACACUAAAAUCAAUUCAGUUGUGCAUUUAAAUGAGUAAAUUGGUAUGUGAAUUGUACCUCAAUAAAUCUGUUAAAACCAUAGUAAUUAGGAUAUUGUAAUACUGGCUUAGAGAUGGAAAAAUUGAUUUAUAAGGAAUCCUGAUUGUAAGGAAUCUUGACUUAUGUCAGAGAUGGCAUUGCAUACCAGCAGGGAAAGCUAGAUCAUUUCAAUAGAUGACGCUGCAUAUUCAUAUGGGGGAAAAAUGAAAUUGGUCCUCCCUACCUAACACCAUACAGAAAAAGUAGUUUCAGAUGACUUUAAGAUGUAAGUGUGAAAGGAAAACAUAGUAAACCUUCAAAAGAAAGAUUGCAAAAUAUUUUUAUGAUCUUAUGGUAGGGAAAUGUAAUAUGUAUAAAGGAAAACAUGUAUGUCCAAUAUGUUAAAGUUAAAAACCUCUGUUCAAGACUCCAUAAACCCUCAGAAUAGCGGUUAAUUUCAGUCAUGCCCAGGAAACAUACAAGAUGAGCCUGGAAUACCUUGUGCAAGAUAGCAAGGAAGCUAUUAGAGACUACGAGGGUGUCAUAUCAAAUGGACUCAGGAGACAACUGAAAAGCAUCCUUCUGGCCAUAGAUGAGACCAUUUGAGUGUCAAUAAGGACAGUAAAUGCAAUUGAUUGGAACAUAUCAAGUGUCUUUAAAUCUGAGUACAUAAUGAUUGUAAAACAAACAGCAUUUAGUUGGUCAACAGUAGAAGAUGCUGUUGCAUCAAUUCAUUAUUUUGAAAAUCAGUUUUGUUUUGUUUUUAAAGUAAUUAGGCAUUUGUCCUGCCUUUUGUAUGUGAACUGUAAGUAACCACAUAGUAGAUGAGGAGAGGGUUCUCUUUGUACAUGUAUUCUAGCUAAUAAAUGGAGGAAUGAUAGAAAAUUGCCAUUUUGAAAUUCCUAAUGAACAAAUGGAUUUAUUUAUUGCAUUUCAACAGCUGCUAACAUGACAGACAAGAAAACAUAUGUUUCUUAAUGGAAAAACACCACUACUGAUGUUAAAAUCUUAUCAAAAAUUUGACCCUGAUACUAAUCAGGUCUUUAGAUCCAUCCAAUUUGCAGAAAAUAUAAACACCAUUAAAACUUUAAGCCAAUGAAACCUACCACAACGUAAUAUUUUGGAAUGGAAAAUAUAAAUGAAAAAUCCAAUUUUGGAGAAUAUUGGGACAAAUUAAUUUCAACAAAUAUGUUGCAGGAGAAAAGGAGACGAGAAGGACAAGUGGAGAAAACCGUAGAUUACAAGAGACUUAGUUCAAUAUGAAGCAACCUGUGAACUUGGAUUAGUUAUCUUACUGUAUAACAAAUCACCCUAGCUUAAAUCUAAAAAUAUUUAUACACUUUCUUAGGAUCCACAGGUGGUUUAGCUAGAUGUUCUGGCCCAAGGUCUCAUGAAUUUGCAGUCAAGAUGUUGGCUGGGCUGUAGUCUGAAAGUUUGACUGGUGUUAGAGGAUCCACUUCCUAGAGGGCUCAUUCGUAGAGCUGCCUGUGUUUUCUCACAACAUGGCAACUGGCUUUCUCUAGAACAGGUGAUCCAAGAGAGAGACAGAAACCAUGAUCAUUCAGAGUGAUGUAACAUUACUUCUACUAUAUAAUGUUAGUCACACAGACAUUUCCCUGACAAUAUGUGGGAGGAGAUUACACAAGAGCAUGAAUACUGGGAAGCUAGCUGUCACAAUUUGGCCCCAAUGAUUGAUAGUUCUUGAUUUGCAAAAUAUAUUCAUCCCCUCCAAAAGCUCUCCAAAGCUCUCAUCCUAUGACACCAUUAGUUCAAGGUCUAGAAAUCUAAAUCAGUUCCAAUUGUGGAUGACACUCAUAGGUGUACUUAAGUACAGCUCCUCAAGAAGAGUUCUUUUUGAUCUGAAGACUCAUACACUAAAGACACAGUCUCUGCUUCCACAUGUAAUAGAAAAUGAAUAGGAUAAUAAAUGUGGACAUGUAUAUUUAAAAAGAGGGAAUAUUGGAGGUACAUAGGUUCACAGAAAUUCUGAAACCCACCUGGGCACAGAUUGGCAGUUGCUUGGUCAAGUUUCAAGGCCUAGAAUUCUCUUAGCUCUGCCUUCUGGGAUCUUGGAUCUACUCACUGAGUCACCCUUUCUUUUUCUUGUUUACACUUCUGCCUGCUUUCUGCCUAUAGAAGCUUGGAUGUCCCACAAGCUUCUUUCCAUUUGGUUCUCUCUGUGCCUUUCAGUCCAGGCUGGCCAUGUUUCUGCUAAUAGACUUCUCUUAAAAACUUUGUGGCUCACUUGUGAAUUUUGAGUUCACUCCAUCAGACAAAAGCAACAACCACACAUCUCGUCCCACAUAAACUCUGCCUCAAGCUUUUGCUGAUGAAAAUACCCUUAAACUUUUUAAAAACCUGUGAUGUUAUUCAGAGAUUUUCUGAGACACAUCGUUUGUCUGAUGAAAAUACUCUGAGGCACAACUUAAGAUCUUUCUGAGCUAUUAAAGGACUUUAUAACUACAGCCUCAACUUUAUGUUUUACUGGCAGUGCCCUAGAUUUGCUUUUUGCUCAGAGAUAUUCCCCAAUUUUAGCACAUUUGUCAUCUGCACAGGCUGGGAAUCUUCAAAUCCAGCAAGUUUUGACUUGUUUUUGUUUGUUUGUUUGUAAUAGAGUCUGUUUUUUGCUGUGUUGGCCAGGUGAUCUUGGACUCCUGGCUUCAAGCAUUCCUCCCACCUCAGCCUCCCAAAGUUCUGGGAUUUUAGGUAUAAGCCACCAUGCCCAGCCAUGGCUCCUUUUUGUUUAACAGUCCUUACUUUGAUGGUCUCUCUUCUCACACAUUUUACUAUCAGCAACAAGAAAAAAUACACAUGAAAUAUUUAACACUUGGCCGGCAAUCUCCUUUGCUAGAUCAAUGAGUUAAUUAGGCAUUUUUUCUACUUUGUACAUAUCUGUGGAUAACAAAUUUGCUAAACUUUCUGCCAUUAUGUAACAAGGAUCUCCUUCCCUCUAGUUUCCAAGAAGAGUUUUCUAAUCUGUUAAGAUGUCACCUGCAGCCUCCUCAAAGGUUAUCUAUUAUGCUUCUAUAAAAAAUUUCUUCAAAGCUCUUCAAACUUUCAUUAACACUCUCCUCCAAGUUCUACCUUCUGUUCACUGCCAGUUUUAAAACCACACUUACAUUUUAGGUUUUUGCUAACACCCCACUUCUGAGUACCAAAAUGUAUACUGAUUUUCUAUUGCUGCAUAAUAAACUGCCCCAAAAUACAACAUGCAAAGCAAUAAAUAUUCAUUAUCUCAUGUAGUGUCUGAAGGUCAAAAAUCCGGAAGCAGCAUAGCUGAGUGGUUCUGAUUCAUUGUCUCUUGUGAAGUUAUCAGUCAAACCAUCAGCUGAGACUGUAAUCAUCUGAUGUUUUAACUAGUACCAGAGGAUACACUUUCACAUGCUAUUGGCAGGACACUUUAGUUCUUCACUAGCUGUUUAGCAGAAUACCGCACUUCCUCACCACAUGUACCUCUUCAUAGAGCUUCCUGGCUUCCUCUAAAACAAGUAAUCCAAGAGAGAAGCAGAAGCCACCAUGGUUUUUUAUGCCGUUGUUGACCUAGCCCCCAAAGUGACAUAUUAUUACACAGAUAUGUAGCCAACCUGUGGGUCACUGAUACGGUUUGGAUGUGUGUCCCCUCCAAAUCUCAUGUUGAAAUGUGAUUCUCAGUGUUGGAAGUGGGGCUGGUGAUAGGUGUUUGGUUCAUGAGGGUAGAUCCCUUAUGAAUGGCUUGGUGCUGUCUUUGUGGCAAUAAGUGAGUUCUCACUAUCUGAGUUCACACAAGAGCUGGUUGUUUAAAAGAGCCUGUCAUCUCUUUUGCUCCCUUUCUCACCAUGUGAUAUGCUGCUCCCCUUCUCUUCUGCCAUGAAGAAAAGCUUCCUGAGGCCUUCACCAGAAGCAGAUGCUGGUGCCGUGCUUCUACAGCCUGCAGAACUGAAGGACUUUACAGCUUCUCUUUCGCAUAUCCAAAUUGCCAGCAUCACCGCUCUUGCACUCCAAGCCAUUAUUAAGUAAAGUAAAGAACACAAACACUGUGAUACUGCUACACUUGAUCUGAUAACCAAGAAGUCUACUAAGUGACUAACAGCAGAGCAACUGGGAACCUAAUUCUGACCAAAAAGGAGGAAUUGUUUGGCUAAUUGGAAGUGACAGAAACCUUGGGAGAAAGCAACCGCAUACCAAGGAUAAUUAUAAGAAGAAGAGAAGACAUGGAGAAGAGGAGGGAGUAGUUGUGACCGUGGAGGCAGAGAAUGGAGUAAUGUGAUCAUAAAUCAAGGAAUGCUGACAGCCACUAAAGCUGGAGAAGGCCAAGGACAGAUAUUCAAUCCUCCCGUAGAAGUACAGCCCUGCUAAUGCAUUGAUUUUGGACUUCUGGCCUCAGAACUAUUUAUAUAUCAGCUUUUUAUCAGUUGAAAUAAACCACCCUGGGCCGGGUGCAGUGGCUCACACCUGUAAUCCCAGCACUUUGGGAGGCCGAGGCAGGUAGAUCAUUUGAGGUCAGGAGUUCAAGGCCAGCCUGACCAACAUGGUGAAACCGCAUCUCUACUAAAAAAUACAAAAAUUAGCCCGGUGUUGUGGCAGGCGCUUGCAAUCCCAGCUACUCAGGAGGCUGAGGCACAAGAAUUCCUUGAACCUGGGAGGUGGAGGUUGCAGUGAGUCGAAACCAAGCCACUGCCCUCCAGUCUGGGCAACAGAUUGAGAGUCUGUCUCGAAAAAAAUAAAUACAUAAAAUAAAUAAGCCACACUGUACUUGUGAAGAUUAACUGAGAUGUUUAAAACAUUAUUUGCAAAAAUGCAAGACAUGAUGUAAGUGUAAAGCAUUAUUAUAUAUCAACAUAAUUGACCAUUAGAAAAAUGCAAAUUAACACCUCAAUGAGAUAUAUCACCAGACACCUGUUAGAAUGGUUAAAAUAAAAAGUACUGAUGAUAUUAAGUGCUGAUAAAAUGCAGAGUAACUCGAUCUCUCAUACAUUGCUGAUGCUAAUGUAAAAUGAUAUCACCACUCUAGAAAACAGUUUGGCAGUUUCUUAUAAAGUUAAACAUGCACUUACUAUACAACCCAGUAAUACACCUACUGGAUAUUCAUUCUAGGGAGAUCAAAAUUUACACCCAAAAACAUGUACAUAAAUGUUCAUAUCAGCUUUAUUUACAAUAGCCCAAAAGGAAACAAUCAGAUGUCCUCCAAUUGAUAACUGGUAUAACCCUAUCACAGAAUCCUACUGAGCAAUAAAAAGGAAAGCACUGUUGAUACAUACAACAACUUGAGUGCAUUUCAAGGCUGUUAUGCUGACUGAAAUAAAAGCUAAUCUCAAAAGGUUAUGUAUUAUGUGAUUCUGUUUAUAUAACAUUCUCAAAUUGCAAAAUCACAGCAAUGAAGAACUGAUCAGUAGUGCCAGGGGUUAGGGUUGUGGGGAGGGUGUGAUGAUGAAUGGGCAGCGUAAGAGAAUUUCUUUGGAGUGAUGGAAUAGUUUUAUAUCUUGAUUAUAGUGAUCAUUAUAUUAAACAAUUGCAUGUGAUAAAAUUCUAUAGGACUGUAUGCCAAAAAUAACUUAAUAUGUUUAUUUUUAAGGUCUGGAAAGCAUGGAAAUUUGUAUCUUCAUUCACUUUUGUUUUCAUGGACUCUUUUCAUGUUUGAACUUUUCAUGGUAUGAGCUGUUUUAUAAUCUAUAAUAUGGAAUGUUUCUCAUACGAAUGUUUUUCUUAUUGAAGAAUGCCAUAGAAAUAAGGGUGUGAGGUAUACUUACUUGACAGGAGAAUUUUACUCCUUUUAUUUUAUUUACUUAUUUAUUUUUAAGACGGAGUCCUGCUGUGUUGUCCAGGCUGGUCUUGAACCCCUGGACUCAAACGAUCUUUCUCCUUGGCCUCCCAAAGUUCUGGGAUUACAGGUAUGAGCUACAGUGCCCUGAGAGUCCUUUUUAAAGUAGUGAAUGCUCAAACAUGGAAUUAAAUUUAGGCAAAGCUCACUUUUAUUUAUACAUAAAACAACUUCAGCCAUGUACCUCAUAACGAUAUUUUGGCCAAUGUCUGACCUUAUAUACAAUGGUUGUCCUGUACGAUUAUAAUGAAGCUGAAAAUUUUCUAUUGCCUAGUAACAUUGUAGUAAUUGUAAUGUAGCACAACCUAUCACACGUGUUUGUAGUGAUGCUGGUGUAAACAAACCGACUGCAUUGCCAGUCUAGUAUAAAAGUCUAGCACACACAAUUAUCCACAGUAUAUAAUAGUUGAUAAUGAUAAUAAACAACUGUCACUGGCUUAUAUAUUUGCUAUACUAUACUUUUUAUCAUUAUUUUAGAGUAUAUUUAGAGUAUAUUAAGCAGCCUUAGGCAGGUCUUUCAGGAGGCAUUCCAGAAGAAGGCAUUGUUAUCAUAGGAGGUGACAGCUCCCUGUGUGUUGUUGCCCCUGAAGAACUUCCAGUGGGACAAGAUAUGGUGGUGAAAGACAGUGAUAUUGAUGAUCUUGACCCUGUGUAGGCUUAGGCUCAUGUGUUUGUGUCUUCAUUCUUUUUUUUUUUUUGAGAUGGGGUCUCGCACUGUUGCCCAGGCUGGAGUGCAGUGGCGCGACCUUGGCUCACUGCAAGCUCCGCCUCCUGGGUUGAUGCCAUUCUCCUGCCUCAGCCUCCCAAGUAGCUGGGACUACAGGUGCCCACCACUACGCCUGACUAAUUUUUUGUACUUUUAGUAGAGACGGGGUUUCACCAUGUUAGCCAGGAUGGUCUUGAUCUCCUGACCUCGUGAUCCGCCCGCCUCGGCCUCCCAAAGUGCUGGGAUUACAGUAUUUAAGACAUUUUUAUAAAUUAAAAAUUUUUUAAAUAGAAAAAAGCCUAUAGCAUAAGGAUAUAAAGAAAAAGUAUUUUUAUGCAGCUGCACAAUGUAUUUGUGUUUUAAACUGUGUUAUUAUGCAAGAGUUACAGAGUUUUUAAAAAUAAAAAGUUUAUAAAGUAAAAAACUUACAACACAUCAAAAGAUAAUACACCAUGAUCAAGUGGGCUUU